RNAcentral lists this ribosomal RNA (497 nucleotides) under uncultured bacterium. RNAcentral's name for it is "partial 16S ribosomal RNA". It matches the Rfam family "Bacterial small subunit ribosomal RNA", at positions 28 to 507 of the family's 1533-position model. The record is from RNAcentral.
GAUGAACGCUGGCGGCGUGCCUAACACAUGCAAGUCGAGCGGACAGACGAGGAGCUUUCUCCUCUUACGUUAACGGCGGACGGUUUACUAAGACGCGGAUAAGCUACUUUGAAUAAACGGAUAACAAGGUGAACUCUUAGCUAAUACCAUCUAAUAUAUUGAACCGCAGGGCUCAAUAAUUAAAGCCGGUUUUGCUGUCACUUGUAGAUGUAUCCGCGCCGCAUUUGCUAGUUGGUAAGGUAACGGCUUACCAAGUCAACGAUGCGUAGCAAACCUGAGAGGGUGAUCGGCCACACUGGAACUGAGACAGGGUCCAGACUCCUACGGGAGGCAGCAGUAGGGAAUUUUCCGCAAUGGGCGAAAGCCUGACCGAGCAAUGCCGCGUGAGUGAUGAAGGGCUUCGGAUUGUAAAACUCUGUUAUUCGGGAAGAACAACCUUGUAAGUAAACAGGAACGUCUUGACGGUACCGAAUGAGCAAGCCCCGGCUAACUACGUG